UCUCGGCGAAGGGAUGGCCAGCCUGUUCCUCGGCAAGAAGGUCAUCGACGAUGACUUGCUCGACGA
This 66-nucleotide unclassified non-coding RNA is filed under the name Pseudomonas sihuiensis. RNAcentral describes it as "Pseudomonas sRNA P10". Lineage: Bacteria; Pseudomonadati; Pseudomonadota; Gammaproteobacteria; Pseudomonadales; Pseudomonadaceae. The record is from RNAcentral.